CACAGUAGUAACUCGUGGCUGCCCUACAAUUUUUAGGUAACUGUAAAAGUAAAAAUAGUUGUUUUACAGUUGUAUUUUACUGUACCACCAUUUAAGAAUUAACAGAAGAAAUUUGGGGAAGAAGAAGCACUGAGAACAGAUUGCUUCCUCAUGUUCUAAAUGUGUAUUCUUAUCAUCAUCAUCACUUAAUAUUUUGAGAAUAAAUUUCGAAGUUUAUAUUAAAGAUAUUUUCCACUGAAUAGCCAAGACAACUCAGAAAGAGAAUGACAAAUUUGGAGAAAAGUCACCUGUUCACAAGGCAUUUUUGAAGACAAG
Molecule: non-coding RNA, 315 nt
Organism: Heterocephalus glaber (naked mole-rat)
Lineage: Eukaryota; Metazoa; Chordata; Mammalia; Rodentia; Bathyergidae
Source: RefSeq, a predicted model, not a curated record